CCUACGGGAGGCAGCAGUGAGGAAUAUUGGUCAAUGGACGAGAGUCUGAACCAGCCAAGUAGCGUGAAGGAUGACUGCCCUAUGGGUUGUAAACUUCUUUUAUAAAGGAAUAAAACGAGGCACGUGUGCCUUUUUGCAUGUACUUUAUGAAUAAGGAACGGCUAACUCCGUGCCAGCAGCCGCGGUAAUACGGAGGAGCCGAGCGUUAUACGGAUUUAUUGGGUUUAAAGGGAGCGUAGAUGGGUUGUUAAGUCAGUUGUGAAAGUUUGCGGCUCAACCGUAAAAUUGCAAUUGAUACUGGCAGUCGUGAGUACAGUUGAGGUAGGCGGAAUGCGUGGUGUAGCGGUGAAAUGCUUAGAUAUCACGAAGAACCCCGAUUGCGAAGGCAGCUUACUAAACUGUGACUGACAUUGAUGCUCGAAAGUGUGGGUAUCAAACAGGAUUAGAUACCCUAGUAGUC
This 460-nucleotide ribosomal RNA is filed under the name uncultured bacterium. RNAcentral's name for it is "partial 16S ribosomal RNA". It matches the Rfam family "Bacterial small subunit ribosomal RNA", at positions 338 to 795 of the family's 1533-position model. The record is from RNAcentral.